This 255-nucleotide unclassified non-coding RNA is filed under the name Hevea brasiliensis (rubber tree). Lineage: Eukaryota; Viridiplantae; Streptophyta; Magnoliopsida; Malpighiales; Euphorbiaceae. The record is from RNAcentral.
GGUAAAGGGAGAGGGAAAAUAUUGGUACAUGAGUGACAUAGGGUGGUAGUAAGAAGGCAGCAUGUGAUGGCCAUCCCAAGUUCUUAUGUUUUCAGUAUUCGUCGGCUGNUUUCAGUAUUCGUCGGCUGCAAUUGGUAUUGGGAAAUCCUACUCCAGAUGUAGGUUCUAGGGGCAUCUUUGUUGGUUAGAUCGUUCCCCUUCAAUUUAUCUUUGUCUCCAAUACCAGAUUCUUUUGGUGAGCCCAGUUCUAGCAAU